UUCAACUCGAAAGAUCUUUUCCUUUGUGCUGGCUUUGACCGUAUGUAAUUUUGGGACUUAAACAUGGUAGGCCUUACGGUUUACCGGUCCCAAAAACAAUAUAUCAUCCUUAUGAAAAACUUACUGAACAACUAAACAAUGAUUUUAAUAAUCUGUUUAAAACAACUUUCAACAACGGAUCUCUUGGUUCUCGCAUCGAUGAAGAACGCAGCGAAAUGCGAUACGUAAUGUGAAUUGCAGAAUUCAGUGAAUCAUCGAAUCUUUGAACGCACAUUGCACUCCUUGGUAUUCCGAGGAGUAUGCCUGUUUCAGUAUCAUGAGCACUCUCACACCUAACCUUUGGGUUAUGCUGUGGAAUUGGGAUGCGCCGAUUUUUACUAGUCGGCACUCCUAAAAUGUAGCUCUUGGCUGUUUCCUACUACAGCAGUUUGGCCUAAUAGUUUUGACUUUUGUCAAAUCUUUGGCUACAUUUGCUUCUGGAAAUCAGUCUUGAUAAUACAGAAAACUCAUUUCAANCCUUGAUCUGAAA
This 529-nucleotide ribosomal RNA is filed under the name Umbelopsis isabellina. Its description in RNAcentral is "eukaryotic LSU rRNA". The stretch from base 164 to 317 matches the Rfam family "5.8S ribosomal RNA". Lineage: Eukaryota; Fungi; Mucoromycota; Umbelopsidomycetes; Umbelopsidales; Umbelopsidaceae. The record is from RNAcentral.